Long non-coding RNA from Lontra canadensis (Northern American river otter), 647 nucleotides. RefSeq lists it as uncharacterized. Lineage: Eukaryota; Metazoa; Chordata; Mammalia; Carnivora; Mustelidae. The record is from RefSeq and is a predicted model, not a curated record. The transcript has 3 exons.
CAGGACUUGUGACAAUUCAGAUGUGGUUUGUGAAAGAAAGAGAGGAGUCAAAGAUUUAUAAUAAAGCUGUUUGGCCUGAGCAACUGGAAGGAAGGUGGUACCAUCCAUGAAGAUGGGGAAGAAUGAUGUGAAGCCAAUUUGGAGAAAGAUCAAGAGGCAAACCACUUCAAUCGAACGUGGCUGGCAGCCAUAUGGUGGCGUAUGAAUCCAACAACUAAUUUAGUAAAGAAAACUGCUUGUAACAAGUUCUGUAUAUGCCAUCCCAGGUAUUACUUUGAUGAUAAAUGAGGAGGUGAUUGCCAAGAAAAUGAUAGUGACAUUUAUAAAAAGCCUAUUGCUUUCCUGGAUGGUUCCUUCUGCUCUGACACUUGGAGAAUCAAAGCUCUAGCCAGAUGGCUAUCAUUCUUCACAUGCAGGGAGCAUGUAUGGUGUGUAGUUAGAGUUCUUUUCCUUGGGAAUUCCUUGGCAUCAGGAAUGGAUAAAAGGGAAAGCAAAAGUAUUAGGGUAUUUUGUGAAUUUUAUUUACACUUUACUGAAAAGUGACUGUUUAACCUCUGUCUGCCGAAAUUAAACAUGCCAUAGCCAUUCAUAGACAUGAGAAGCACACAUCUGUAGCAACAUGAAGACGGUAAGGAAUAUUUCCUCUG